CUGUGAUUAAUUCCACACAAAUCUCAAACUAUAGCACAGCACAAUAAAAAUAAGCCGAAAUCUCCACUUUUACCAAGAAAUACAAUGAAAUAUACAUAUGGAUGCAUAAUACAUAGUGAGCCUCAUAACUAUCUACAAGUGAUGCAAAAUCACAUCUAGACAUGAACAUGCAUCCCAAAAUAUUGACUACAUGUUCUAUGAAAUGAGUCAUACUAACAAACUCUAUAGUGUGGCUCUGACUCCAAAAUCAAGGAUCCACUCCAAAAGAUGUCCAAAUUCUCAACUGCUGCCAGAUAAAGAAAAACGUGGAAAAAUAUAUGAGUUGAUAGCUCAGUGAGUGGAGAAGUUCAAAAUAAAUGUACAUUUUCCAUUUAUACAUUUUUUAUUGAAAAUCAACUUCAUAUCAUUUGAUAAUUCACAAACUACCAUCAUGUAAUUAUAGUCAAAAAGUGAAAUAUUCACAUAAGGUCAUAAAAAUAUCAUCUUAAAAUCAUGAUAUAACAUCAGUUGAUAACCAUGCUAUAAUCUUAUCACAUCAAUCGUGCUGAAAAAUUCACCAAAAAUGUACCCUCUAACUGAAAUAUGUAAUCCACCUCUCGGGCUAAGAACUUUCACCACGGGUCUUUGGCCCCCUCUGUGAACGAAAGCCUGUUUCAAAGACCUCUCAUAAUCAAUUCUAGAACGCGGCCAAUGCCCCUAUGUAAACUAUAUAUACACGAUCAAGACCAAUGUCAAGUCAAGACCCUCCGUGUAGGAUAGAACACGGCCAAGGCCCCUCUGUGAAUUAGAAGAAGUAUAUAAUCAUUGGUACUUUUCUGACCAAUCUCAAUGUUGCAUGUCUCACAUACCAAACAAAUUUCAAUAUCACAUGUCUUACAUAACAGGUUACAAAUGUGUCAUAAAUAAUCUUUGAUAUUCCACAUGUACCAUAAUAAAAGAGAUUUCCAUAAUAACAAUAUAAUUCGAACACAUAAUUGCACAUAUUUUGACAAUAUACUUAAUUUAUAAAUAUUUUAAAAAUAUUUAUAUUUUUCCACUCACAGAACUAUGUACGUCAAAAUCAAUUCGAUUGGUACGCUGUUCUGAUAUUCGUAUCGCCGCGUAAAAUAUGAUAUCAUUUUUAAAUCAAUAAUUAACUAAUUUUAGUAAUUUCACUAAUUAAAUAAGUGAUACCCAAACAUAAUUAUUUCACGUUUAGGCGAUUUCUAAAGUCUCUUUAAUUAUUAAAACUAAUCUUUCUUUCAUUUUACUCAAUUUCAUAGUUUAUUAUACUCAACCCCUUCGAUAAAAUUAAAUUUAAUCUAACAACUAUAAAAUCAAACAUAACCUUUCAAUAAGUAACUUUUUACUUACCUUUCAAAAUUGAGAAAUUCAAGUCUAAUAGGUAGAGUACUUAAUUCCUAACAUAUUGGCAAAUUUUCCCUUUUUUCCCUUUUUUUCUUCAUCUUUUCCCUUUUUUUUCCUCUUUUUUCCUUUCUCUCUUUUUCUUCUCUGGUCCGUUUUCUUGUGUAUGUGUUGUAUGAUAUGUGUGUGUUAUUAAAUUGGUUUUGGAUUUGUAUUAGUUUUGCACCGCCUGCCACUUUUGUUUUUGUUUUUGUCUUUUUUUUUUUGUCUUUUGUCUUCUUUUCUUUUUUGUUUGACUUUUUUUUUUUCAAAGUAUUACAAAACUCACCCCUUUAAAAGAAUUUCAUUCUCGAAAUUCAAUUGACUAAGUGCUUAAAAUCUGGGGAUACUGAGAACGCAUCUGCUCUUCACUUUCUCAUAUCGCUUCUUCUAUAACAUGAUUCCUCCACAAGACUUUAACCAAAGGAAUAGCCUUAGUACGCAAAAUGUGUUCUUUCCUAUCCAAUGUCAGAACUGGUUCUUCUUCAUAGGUAAGAUUUUCCUUCAACUCUACUCGUUGUGAUUCCAAAAUAUGAGAUGGAUCUGGAAUAUACUUACGAAGUAUAGAAACAUGGAAUACAUCAUGAAUUCUGGACAAUUCUAUUGGCAAAGCCAAUCGAUACGCAACUGGACCGAUGUGUUCAACAAUCUCAUAUGGGCUAAUAUACCUCGGACUCAAUUUACCUCGUUUACCAAAUCUGAUAACACCUUUCCAUAGCGACAAUCGUAGGAAAAUUUUAUCUCUAACAUCAAAUUCAAGAUUUUUUUUACGUCUAUCUGCAUAGUUCUUCUGUCUAUCUUAGGCUGUCUUUAAUUUUUCUUUAAUUACCUUUACUUUCGCAUCAGUAAUCUGGACAUAUUCGCGACCCAAUAGCUUUCUUUCGCCAACUUCAUCCCAACAUACUGGAGUUCUGCAUUUCCUACCAUACAGUGCUUCAGAAUGAGCCAUUUCUAUACUCGAAUGAUAAUUGUUAUUAUAAGCAAACUCCAUCAAAGAAAGAUGAGUAUCCUAAUUCCUUUGAACUGUAGUACACAAGCUCGUAACGUGUCUUCCAAAGUCUGAAUAGUUCUUUCUAACUGACCAUCUGUUUGUAGAUGAAAAGCUGUACUGAAAUGAAGUUUAGUACCCGUAGCUUUCUACAAACUGGGCCAAAAUUUAGAAGUGAAACAAUAGAUACUGAUGUCCCAUACAAACUGAUUAUCUCAUCAACAUAUAUUUUUUCCAAUUUAUCUAACAAGUAAGUGACUUUAAUAGGCAAAAAUCUAGCAGUCUUCGUCAAUCUGUCUACAAUGAUCCAUAUGUCAUCAUGUCCACUCUGAGUCCGUGGAAGUCCAAAUAGAAAAUCCAUAGUAAUGUAUUCUCAUUUCCUCUCAGGAAUAGGCAACGUUUGUAACAAUCCUACUGUUUUCUGACGAUCUGGUUUCACUUGCUGACAAAUGAGACAUCUGGAUACAAACUCAGCUAUUUCUCUCUUCAUUCCAUGCCACCAAUAGUGUUCUUUGAGUACAUGAUACAUUUUUUUACUACCUGGAUGCAUCGCGUAAGUAGAACUAUGUGCCUCUUCUAGAAUUUCUCCCUUCAAUUUCGAAUCAUCCGGAACACAUAAUCUGUUUCCCAUAACUAAAGCUCUGUCAUCUCGAAUGGUAUAAUCUGUAUGCUUACAUUUACUAACUUCUUCUUUCAAUUUGCUUAACACCGGAUCUUAAGUUUGAGUUUCUCUAACUGUAUCAAUCAAAGUAGGCCUCACUUGGAAGUCAGCAAACAAUGCUCCAACACUGGUAACUGAUAAUUGGGCAUGAGAAGCUCUGAGCUCACCAAACAAAGAUGAACAUGCUACAUUAGUUUGGGUCAUAGGUCUCGAUAUUUUCCGACUGAGAGUAUCAGCAACUACAUUAGCCUUCCCUGGACGAUAAUCAAUCUUGCAGUCGUAAUCUUUUAUCAGCUCUAACCAUCUUCUUUGCUUCAAGUUUAACUCUUUCUGAUCGAAAAUAUACUUUAAACUUUUAUGAUUUGUAUAUAUCUGACAUUUCUCACCAUACAAGUAAUGUCUCCAAAUUUUCAAGGCUAGGACAACUGCAGCUAGCUCUAAAUCAUGUGUAGGAUAACUCAGUUCACGUUUCUUCAAUUGCCUGGAAGCAUACGCUAUAACUUUUCCAUUUUGCAUCAAAACACAACCAAGACCCUAACGUGAAGCAUUACUAUAUAUCACAAACUCUUUACUGAGAGAUGGAAUGGUAAGAAUUGGGGCUGACACUAAUCGAUUCUUCAAUUCGAGGAAACUUCUUUCACAAUUUUCAUUCCAAACAAAUUUAGCAUUCUUUCUAGUCAAGCUGGUCAAAGGAAGAGCAAUUUUUGGAAAAUCCCUCUACAAAACGAUGAUAUUAACCUGCUAAGCCAACAAAACUUCGGAUUUAUAUCACAUUAGCAGGCCUUUCCCAUUUUAUCACUGCCUCUGUUUUCUGCGGGUAAACAUAAAUUCCUUCUGCUGAUAUGACAUGUCCCAAAAUACAACUUUAUCAAGCCAAAAUUCACAUUUACUAAAUUUAGCAUACAGCUGCUCAUCACGUAGAGUCUGCAAGAUGAUUCUAAGAUGCUCUGUGUGUUCAUCGUCAUUAUGAGAGUAUACUAAAAUAUCAUCGAUGAAUACAAUCACAAAUCUAUCUAAGUAUGAGCGAAACACUCUAUUCAUCAUAUCCAUAAAUGUUGCUGGUGCGUUGGUCAACCCAAAUGGCAUCACAAGAAAUUCAAAAUGACCAUAUCUUGUCCUGAAAGCAGUUUUUGGCACAUCACUGUCCCUGAUUUUAAGUUGAUGAUAUCCAGAACGCAAAUCAAUCUUUAAAAAUACUGCAGCACCUCGAAGCUAAUCAAAUAGGUCAUCAAUACAUAGCAAAGGAUAUUUAUUGCAAAUUGUCACUUGUUUCAAUUGUCUGUAAUCUAUACAUAGUCGCAUGGUGCGAUAUUUUUUUUUUCACAAACAAAAUUGAUACUCCCCACGGAGAUAUACUAGGUCUGAUGAAACCCUUGUCUACUAACUCUUGCAACUGAACCUUUAGCUCUUUCAAUUCUGCUGGUGCCAUUCUAUAUGGUGUCCAUAAAAUAGGUGCAGUUCCUGGAAUCAGAUCUAUAGUAAACUCCAUAUCUCUGUAUGAUGGUAAGCCUGGUAAUUCUUCUGGAAAUACAUCGGGAAAGUCCUUGACCACUGGGAUAUCUUCAAGUUUUAGUUUACUAAGAUCUGUAUCAAUUAAAUGAGCCAAAUAUGCAUGGCAGCCCUUGUUGAGUAAUCUUCUAGCGUCAAUAGCAGAUAUCACACAAGACAGUAAAAUUCUGCGCUGUCCGUUGAAUAUAACUUCAAGUUGUCUUGGCUAUCUAAACACAACCUCCUUUCGAAAGAAAUCAACUGAAGCUCGAUUUGUUGUCAAAAAGUCCAUACCCAAGAUAACAUCAAAAUCAUGUAUGUCAAGAGGUAUUAAAUUUGCCUUCAGCUCGUUCUCCUUUACCUUAGUCCCACAAUCUCGAUAUAUAUUGUUUGCUAAUAGUGAUUCUCCUACUAGUGUAUUCACUACCAAACAACUGCCUAGAGGUUCUCACUUUUGAUUCACAUAUAAAGUAAAUGCAAAUGACAUACAAGAAUGUGUAGAUCCAGGAUCAAUCAAAAUAUGAGUAUUUUUAUCAAAAAUUGACAACAUACCCAUGAUAACAUCUGGUGACUUCUUUGUCGCCUGCUGAGUCAUAGCAAAAAACCUUGCCCUGGUCUUCGGUCAUCCUACCUGCCCUUUUAAUUUUGUACCACUACUGCUUGCAAUAUUAGACUGGGUUACACUGUUUGUACUUGUUAUGUUAGUUGAAUUAUUUCUCUGAGUCUGAUUCUAUCUUGUACUACCAGCACUCUGCUAAGGAAACAUCUUUUGUGCCAUGCCACCCUCCUAGAAUACAACUGGGCAAUUCCUUUUCAGAUGUCCUUCUUGGUCACAACGAUAGCAAACACCAACUCCCUUGAACUUUAAACACUCUCCAGGAUGAGAUCUUCCACAUAAUUGGCAAGAAGAAAAUCUGGCACUAGUAGAACUCUUUCCCUGUUUCGGAGUAAAUGAUCUCUGGAAAGAACCCUGAGUAUAAUUUCGACUGGUAAAUGGCUGCUGUACAGUACUGGGACUGAAUCUAGGAACCUGACUUCCUCGGAGUCGAGAUUUGAAUUGACCUGAACUGGACACACCAGGUCGAAAUCCUCUAUUGUCCCUCCGUGAUAGUCUAUAGCUAGAAGCAUUUGUCAUUGUCUGACUAUCGAUUACUCUGAAAAUUAUUUGUUCUCUACCAAUUGGCCUAUCAGAAAUGCUAUUUUCUACUCUCAAAGUUGAUUCCACUAAUUCGCCAAAUUCAUUCAACCCUGCAGUUGUUACUACUGACCUAAUUUCUUCCCUUAACCCAUUUUCAAACCGUCUACAUUUAUCAAUUUCGUUGCUUACCGGAACUUGGGCAUAUUUUGAAAGUUCAAUAAAUUUCACCUGAUAUUCUGCAAUAGUCAUCUGGCCUUGUAUUAGUUUCAGAAAUUCCUCCUAUUUUACAUCUUUAUAGGACCGAGGGUAAUAGGCAUCGUAAAAGAUACGACGAAAAUCUAUCCAAGUAAUGAUGGAAGGGUCUAGGUAUGUGCUCCAUAUCGACCGCCACCAAUCAUACGCACCCUCCUCUAAUAAGAAGGUGGCAAGACACAACUUCCGAUCGUCUGCGCAACCCAUAACGUCAAAUACCCUCUCUAUCUUUGUCAUCCAUGCCUGCGCAACUGCAGGAUCGAUUGUGCCAGUGAACACUUUAGCCCCUAACUUUGUAGCCCUUUCAAUACUAAAAUCUCUGUCAGUAUUACGCAUAGCAGAUGCAACGACAAUAGCAAUUCUUUCAACAGCAAUAGGAUAAGUUUCAAUCACAUUUCCCUAUCCAUGUUGUUCAGGAGGCUGGUGAACGGAUUUAUCUACUCUCUCGGGCUCUCUCAGUUCAUCUCUAUCAGGAGUAAUGUGAGACUGGGACAACAUAUCUUGGAGCCUUCGAGUUUUGCCACCACGAGGCAUGACUCACCUACAGUUAUGCAUAAUAUGCUAAAUAUCAGAAUGUAUGCAUGUACAAUGCAAACCCAUGAACUCUAAUGCAUGCUUUGAUACCAAACUGACACACCUCGCCCCGUGUAACACCACUAGAUCCGGACGUGGCAUGCGCCGAUGAUAGAUACCAACUAAAAAUUGGACCCACCAUCAAGGCUACUAUAAAUACAAUUUAUCACUUUUUAUGCAUCAUUUUUCUAACAAAAUUUCGACAUUAUCUCCCCUGUAAAUAGGACUAACCAACCUGUGAUCAAUCCUACACAAAUCUCAAACUAUAGCACAGCACAAUAAAAAUAAACCGAAAUCAAAAACCAAGAAAUACAAUGAAAUAUACAUAUGGAUACAUAAUACAUAGUGAGCCCAAUAACUAUCUACAAGUGAUGCAAAAUCACAUCUACACAUGAACAUGGAUCCCAAAAUACUAUCUACAUGUUCUAUGAAGUGAGUCAUACUAACAAACUCUGUCGUGUGGCUCUGACUCCCAAAUCAAGGCUCAACUCCAAAAGAUGCCCAAAUUCUCAACUGUUACCUGAUAAGGAAAAACGUGGAAAAAUAUAUGAGUUGAUAGUUCAGUGAGUAGAGAAGUUCAAAAUAAAUGUACCUUUUCCAUUUAUACAUUUUUAUUGAAAAUCAACUUCAUAUCAUUUGAUAAUUCACAAGCUACCAUCAUGUAAUUAUAGUCAAAAAGUGAAAGAUUCACAUAAGAUCAUAAAAAUAUCAUCUUAAAAUCAUGAUAUCACAUCAGCUGAUAACCAUGCUAUAAUCUCAUCACAUCAAGCGUGCUGAAAAAUCCACCAAAAAUGUACUCUCUGACUAAAAUAUGUAAUCCACCUCUUGGGCUAAGAACUUUCGCCAGGGCCUUUGGCCCCC
This 7344-nucleotide long non-coding RNA is filed under the name Olea europaea (common olive). RNAcentral describes it as "long non-coding RNA (OEUR_LNC007738)". Lineage: Eukaryota; Viridiplantae; Streptophyta; Magnoliopsida; Lamiales; Oleaceae. The record is from RNAcentral.